RNAcentral lists this ribosomal RNA (260 nucleotides) under uncultured bacterium. RNAcentral's name for it is "partial small subunit ribosomal RNA". It matches the Rfam family "Bacterial small subunit ribosomal RNA", at positions 26 to 285 of the family's 1533-position model. The record is from RNAcentral.
AGGACGAACGCUGGCGGCGUGCUUAACACAUGCAAGUCGAGCGGUAAGGCUCCUUCGGGAGUACACGAGCGGCGAACGGGUGAGUAACACGUGAGCAAUCUGCCCUUCACUCUGGGAUAACCCCCGGAAAACGGGAGCUAAUACCGGAUACGACCACCUCAGGCAUCUGAUGGUGGUGGAAAGUUCCGGCGGUGAAGGAUGAGCUCGCGGCCUAUCAGCUUGUUGGUGAGGUAAUGGCUCACCAAGGCUUCGGACGGGUA